RNAcentral lists this ribosomal RNA (808 nucleotides) under Occidozyga semipalmata (Lowah frog). RNAcentral describes it as "partial large subunit ribosomal RNA". It matches the Rfam family "Bacterial large subunit ribosomal RNA", at positions 1530 to 2571 of the family's 2925-position model. The record is from RNAcentral. Lineage: Eukaryota; Metazoa; Chordata; Amphibia; Anura; Dicroglossidae.
UUUAACUAUAAUCGUAAACCCAUUAUCAGUACUGAGCGGCUUUAUAAUAUAUAAAAGUCACCAUGCUAAAACUAGUAACAAGAAAAUGAAUUUCUCCAAAGUGCAAGUUUAAGCCGACAUGGACAUUCCACCGGCACCUAACGAUAAUGAGUCCACCAUAACAACACUCCUAGAAAAACUUAUUAAAACCCAUCGUUUACCUUACACAAGAACACUUCUGGAAAGAUUAAAAGGAAAAGAAGGAACUCGGCAAACCUUGGCCCCGCCUGUUUACCAAAAACACCGCCUCUUGCUAAGAUAUAAGAGGUCCAGCCUGCCCAGUGACUCUUAAACGGCCGCGUGAUUUUAAGCGCGCAAAGGUAGCAUAAUCACUUGUUCCUUAAAUAGGGACCCGUAUCAAAGGCCUGACGAGGGCCAUACUGUCUCCUUUUCCCAAUCAGUGAAACUAAUCCCCCUGUGAAAAAGCAGGAAUAUCAUCAUAAGACGAGAAGACCCCAUGGAGCUUUAAAUGAAGCGACAAGCCACCACAACUAAAACCAACAAAUCAUAGGGCCCCUGUUCGCUAAUUUUAGGUUGGGGCGACCGCGGAGUAAAACUUAACCUCCACGACUAAAGGAACUAUGUCCUAAUCAAAGAAAAACCCAUCUAGGAAUCAACAACUUGACAUUAAAUGACCCGACCAUCGAUCAACGGACCAAGUUACCCUGGGGAUAACAGCGCAAUCCAUUUUGAGAGUCCAUAUCGACAAAUGGGUUUACGACCUCGAUGUUGGAUCAGGGUAUCCCGGCGGUGCAGCAGCUGCCAAAGG